AGGAAAGCCAGGAGGCCAUGGGAGUUUAGAGAAUUUUCACAGAAAAUACAGAGAACUUGGAGUUCAGGGAAUUUUGUUCAUGGCUCACCUGGAAUCCCACAGACCACUUAGGAAAGAGGUUGGGAAUUGGAGGCAAAAGAAUGGUAGUAAAAAUAGGAGGUAAAAAAAAACAUGUAUGCACUGCAGGACCAAAUACAAUCUUGGGGGGAUCCCCCCAUGUAUCCUGUCCCACAGAGUCCCACAGAGUCCCACAGGCCAAGCUGCCAUUCUACAUGUUGUAAUUUUACUCUUUACUGAUUGAAAAUUUCCUGAAGUACGGCUCUCUAACUUACAUUUCAGCCUGUGAAGAGUUUUAAGGAGUUUAGAAGCUUCACACUGUCGUGUUUUGUUUUGUUUUUAAUCUUAUGAGAGGGUGUCAUUAAGUAGUCCAGGGUAGCCCGGAACUCCUAGAAAUUUUGUUGCCUCAAUUUCCAGGUGUUUGACUUAAUGGUCAGUGUGAUUAGCUUCCGUCCAAACUUCUCAGGAAAUGCCACUAAUAAUUUUGAACCACAUAUUCCGGGAGGGAUAGCUCAGGACUUAAGUGCACCGAUCCCGUAGUUUACAGAGGUCCCUAAUCCUAAUUCUAGGGCAUCUAACACCUUCUUUUGGCCUCCAUGGGCACCAGGCACACAUGUGAUGCAUAAACACACAUGUAGGCAAAACAUUCACAUACAUAAAUCUUUUUUUAGAGUGUAUCUGUACAUCCUUUAAUUUUAUCCUAACCAAAAUUAAAGAAGAAUUGCACACAGAGAGGACAAGAAAGAAGGCAAAUGCAAGGAAAUUUGGUAGGCUUUGAAACAAUGAAACAAGAAAAAAGAGGAUUCAUAAAACUGAGAAAGCCAAGCCUCAGUGCAGGAAAACCAAGGACCCACUGGACUUUCACUGGAAUCCUCAGAAACCUGAGAAACCUGAGCUACACUGACAGGCCUCUGACACUGGAGGCCAAUGAGAAGUGUACAUUCUUGAUCACCAGCUCCUCUCCAGUAGCAAACUAUACUUUUCAGAUACAAUGUGUCCUUAAAGUCACCCCUCCCCUGAGAAAACCUUUAUUGAGAAACAAAUAAAACAAAAUGUGGAAUGCUGGGAGCAUCCUCAUAGAAGCAGGGGGAAGGGGAGGGGUGUGGGAGAUUGAGGAAAGGGGAUAACAUUGGAAAUGUAAAUAUAAAAUAUCCGAGAAAAAUAAAAUUAAAAAAUCAUCAUUAUUGAUAAGGUUGUGCCAAAGCUGCAUUUAAUACAGCUAAUGAACUAACCUCCUACCUCAGAUUAGCUGUAUUAAACAUGCUCAGAGAACUUGUAUUGAGUUAUAACUGGGUAAAAUCAUGCAAGAGAUGGUCUACUUUGUAUUAAAGUAUGGGAUGUUUUAUAUAUUUACUUAAAUACUAAAAUUACAGAUUCAUUAUCAUAAUGGCCAAAUUCUUAAUUUGAACCACUGUAAGUUUGUGACUUUUUGUAUAGUGCUCAAUUUUACCUGCUGAUUUAGGAAUUCCGGAGGUCUGAGAAUUUUCAAACAAUUGGGAGAGACCAGUUGGAGAUCAGAGUUUUUGACAUUGUUGAGUUUACUUAAAUGGUGGGACACACUUUGGCCAUUUAACCAUAAAGAUUAAGUUAAGGCCAGGGCAAGUCUCCCCAUUGUGGCCACCUAAGUAUGAACUGAGCAAGGCUGACCCUGGUAGGCAUGCCAUACUGGGUGGGGAAAACCCCACGAGGCCUUAGCCCUACACAAGGAACUGCAGAAAGCUGGGAGUGAAAGAGUUGGUUUUUCCCAAAGAAGAGCGCACCAAUUGUUCACUAACGUGCCAAAGGGUCAGCCAUGAACACAUACACACAAGUGACAUAAUAUGUACUCAAAAAAAUGUGGACUGCAAGCAAUGGAAAACAGGGACAGACUAAUGAAGACAACUGCCAAGACGAUGCCGAAGGCCGUUUCUAGAAUGGCCAGUGUGGACUGGCUCUGCACGUUGACCAGUUCAGACUGGAGCAGGCCCAUCCAAGAAAGAAUCUAGAUGAGCGCAUUUUCUCCCAGAUCCCACUGCCUCCUCCCUUUCUUUUCACAGAGAAGAGAAUUCUCCCAGGAGCCAGGACCGGAUCUAUGGCUUCUGUUUCCUUCCUUUGUGUUCUGCUGCUUCACUCCGCAGUGUUUCCUGGAUCGCCCCUGAAAGCCUGAGGCAGCUGUAGAAGGUUUAGGAAUCGAAAGCGUCAGACAAUCCAUUCUCUAAGCAUCGUUUUACCAAAUAGUUAUACUUUGGUCAGUUGCUCCAAAUACCACAGCCUUGUGCCUCCCUGGACAACUUCAGACCCUGCACACCGACUUCCCUGGAAAGAUACUCAUGCAAUCCGAAGUCAAAUCGUGGCCCACAGGCACUGAUAGGUGCAAUUUCUCGGAGAACCUCUAUGUCCGUGGUUCCCAACCCUCUGUAGGUCGAAGAAACGCUUUCACAGGGGGUGCCUAAAACCAUCAGAAAACACAGCGAUUUACACUACAAUACAUCAAGCUUCGAAAUCACAGCAAGAAUAGCCAGGACGAUAGACAAAGCUGGGUGUUCAUGGACAUUCGUCCUUGUUUGGAGCAAUGGACACGCCAUCAGAAAUAGGAAACGACAUACGACAAGUGCAGCACUAGGUGCAAGAGCGCAUGGUAGCUUGCUGCCAGGAAUGAGGUACCACGACUUGGAAAGCAGCGGCAAUCCCUUCCGCCAUGGCUUGUCCUGAAACUCCAGCCAAUGGUUUAGAGAAUGUCUGGAAGAUUUUAUCCCGAGGGGCAAAUUCCCGUGCACAUCUUGUAAAUGAUAUUUGGUCAUGGUACAGUUGUAAAGGCCUUGUUUAAAUCAAGCAGAGGUCAUGCAAUAACUAGUGAUGUAAAAGCUAACUGCUUUUGUAAAUCUAAGACCUGUUGCCCCAACCAUGAGACUCCUGAUUGCAAACAUCCUGUAAUUUGGGUUCCGGUUGUCCAUCAAUAUGUGUUUGAUGUGUAAAUGGU
Molecule: non-coding RNA, 3016 nt
Organism: Rattus norvegicus (Norway rat)
Lineage: Eukaryota; Metazoa; Chordata; Mammalia; Rodentia; Muridae
Source: RefSeq, a predicted model, not a curated record